This is a non-coding RNA of Glycine soja, 74 nucleotides long. Lineage: Eukaryota; Viridiplantae; Streptophyta; Magnoliopsida; Fabales; Fabaceae. The record is from Rfam.
GAUCUAUUAGCUUAGGUUGUUAGAGCGUCGUGCUAAUAACACGAAAGUUACGUGUUUGAUUCUUGUUUAGGUCA